UGUGAACAGCCCUCGGAGCAUCUAGGCCUCUGCUACAAUCAGGUCUCUGGUGACUUGAAAAGCAGCAAUGAGGGAACUCAGCUGGAUCUUCUCGUUGGUGCCAACAGAAAGCCUGUACCUAACAGAAACCAAACACAGGGGUAGCCAAAAAGGAAAAGGAAAAUUAGCAGAUACCAAAGUGAUCUGAAGAGCACCAAAGGAUCAUCACACUGCUCCUAGCAGCUGGGUAGCUCUGCAAGUUAUCUGGAAGGCUGGGUUCCCACUUGCUGGGUUUUUUUUUUUGAGAUGGGAGUCUCACUCUGUUGCCCAGGCUGGAGUGCAGUGGCUUGAUCUUGAACCUACCGGGUUCAAGUGAUUCUCCUGCCUCAGCCUCGAGUAGCCGGGACUACAGGCAUGCGCCACCACACCUGGCUAAUUUUUGUAUUUUUUAGUAGAAAUGGGGUUUCACCAUACUGGACAGGCUGGUCUUGAACUCCUGACCUCAUGAUCUGCCCGCCUCGGCCUCCCCAAGUGCUGGGAUUACAGGUGUGAGCCACCAUGCCCAGCCAUAUAUGUAUUUUUUUUUAAAGAAAUGUGAAUUAAUAUAUACUACUUACUGCUAUAAAAUACCCCUAGAGGAAAUAAAGUUAGCCUCCAGGUAUUUUCACUCUCCCUAGCAGUUCUAGACAUUAAAAGAGGGUUUUUGGGGGGUGGGGGCUAGGGGAGAGAUACCAUAAGAAGAAAUACCUAGGCCGGGCACGGUGGCUCAAGCCUGUAAUCCCAGCACUUUGGGAGGCCGAGGCGGGUGGAUCACGAGGUCAAGAGAUCGAGACCAUCCUGGUCAACAUGGUGAAACCCCGUCUCUACUAAAAAUACAAAAAAUUAGCUGGGCAUGGUGGGGCGUGCCUGUAAUCCCAGCUACUCAGGAGGCUGAGGCAGGAGAAUUGUCUGAACCCAGGAGGUGGAGGUUGCGGUGAGCCGAGAUCGCGCCAUUGCACUCCAGCCUGGGUAACAGUGAAACUCCGUCUCGGGAAAAAAAAAAAAAGAAAUACCUAAUGUAGAUGAUGGGUGAUGGAUGCGGCAAACCACCGUGGCACGUGUAUACCUAUGUAACAAAUCUGCACGUUCUACACACAAAACUUAAAAGUAUAAUAAAAAAUAAAAAAAUAAAAACAAUAUAAAAAACGGUUUCUGGAACAAAGUUUUUUUUUUUUUAAGACAGAUUCUAGCUCUGUCACCCAGGCUGGAGUGCAGUGACAAAUCUCAGCUCACUGCAACCUCGACCUCUCAGGUUAAACAAUUCUCUCACCUCAGCCUCCCGAGUAGCUGGGAUUACAGGCCUGCACCACUAAACCCGGCUAAUGUUUUGUAUUUUUAUUAGAGAUGGGAUUUCACCGUGUUGGUCAGGCUGGUCUCGAACUCCUGACCUCAGGUGAUUUGCCUGCUUUGGCCUCCCAAAGUGCUGGGAUUACAGGUGUGAGCCAUUACACCCAGCUCUGGAACAAAAUUUUAAACAGUGUCAAGACAAAACUGCUAAAAAGACAGGGUCUGAUUUAUACUUCAUUCGUUUCUUUGUUUCAAGAAUGAAGCCUCCUGUUCUAACCAUCGGUAACCCCAAAGCAGGUCACCUUCUUCACAGCUUCUCAGGAAUAACGUUAAGUUACCUCUAUGCACAAACAAGUGUAUCUCUGUCAGGAUAUCGUGCAGUGCCAACCCCUUCAGAGUUUUCAACUCUGUAAUAUCUAGAGAGGAGCAGUUAGUUAAGGCAAAGGGAACAAGUUCAGAACAAACAGACUGCAGAGAAUUUUGAAUUCAAACCCUGGCAAGUGACUUUUUAAAGUAGGGCUUUUAGUCCCAACAGCUGUUUCUCUUUCAACUCGAAGCUGCACACAGGUGUUGGACUCCAAUUCUUUUUCUUUGUUUCAUCUUCAGUAAUGGCUUUCUGAAAGAUAAAUGUAUCUCCUUCUAUUAGAGAAUAAAGCCAAUUGCAUUUCCUU
This is a non-coding RNA of Callithrix jacchus (white-tufted-ear marmoset), 1976 nucleotides long. Lineage: Eukaryota; Metazoa; Chordata; Mammalia; Primates; Cebidae. The record is from RefSeq and is a predicted model, not a curated record.